RNAcentral lists this transfer RNA (74 nucleotides) under Phalacrocorax pelagicus. RNAcentral describes it as "tRNA-Leu". It matches the Rfam family "tRNA". From Rfam's summary of the family: Transfer RNA (tRNA) molecules are approximately 80 nucleotides in length. Their secondary structure includes four short double-helical elements and three loops (D, anti-codon, and T loops). Further hydrogen bonds mediate the characteristic L-shaped molecular structure. tRNAs have two regions of fundamental functional importance: the anti-codon, which is responsible for specific mRNA codon recognition, and the 3' end, to which the tRNAs corresponding amino acid is attached (by aminoacyl-tRNA synthetases). tRNAs cope with the degeneracy of the genetic code in two manners: having more than one tRNA (with a specific anti-codon) for a particular amino acid; and 'wobble' base-pairing, i.e. permitting non-standard base-pairing at the 3rd anti-codon position. RNAcentral also lists the same sequence under 1 other name. The record is from RNAcentral. Lineage: Eukaryota; Metazoa; Chordata; Aves; Suliformes; Phalacrocoracidae.
GCUAGCGUGGCAAAGCCAGGUAAGUGCAAAAGGCUUAAGCCCUUUGAUCAGAGGUUCAAAUCCUCUCUCUAGCC